This 1634-nucleotide long non-coding RNA is filed under the name Homo sapiens (human). RNAcentral describes it as "HSALNT0083786". The record is from RNAcentral. Lineage: Eukaryota; Metazoa; Chordata; Mammalia; Primates; Hominidae.
CUGCUAGCCAACAAAGGCUCAACGGGAUCCUUCUCUAGAGAAAUGGAUGAACCUGGAGGAAAUAAUUUGGGAGGUGGCAAGGCAGAAAUAAAAGGCUUCCUGCCCAGCCAUUGAUGAAGGAGUCUCUCAACACUGAGAACAUCUAAGUAAAGUCUUGGUGACUCAGUCUUAACGUGCCUGGAUUCAGGAUUCAGGAUUCAGGAUUCAGUUCAGGAUUAUUAGAUAUUUAUGGAAGAUAUCAACACACACAAAAAAGGAGCAAAAUCUACCACUCAGACACUGGAAGGAUUGUGGAGGAAAAAUACUCUACAGAUAAAAAUACUUUACAGAAGACAAAGAGAAGAGUAGAGAAAGAAAAGAAAGAACAAAAUGAAAGAAAAAAAGAAAGAAGGAAAGAAGGAAGGAAGGAAAAAGAAAGAAAGAAAGAAAAAGAGAAAUAAAGAAAGAAAAGAAAAGAAAGAAGGAAGGAAGGAAGGGAGGGAGGGAAGGAAAAUAAACAACUCUAGUAUCUUUAUAGAGAAACAAGUAGAGCAGGAUGCCUUAAAAGAGAAGAAACAAAGACCAAAAAAUAAAAUGAGCAUUUGAAAAUAUGAAGGAGGGUAAUCAGGUAUAAAACAAGCAAACAAACAAAAGCAAAACAAAAAGCAGAAAACCUGGAAGAUAAAAUUCAAAAAAACUUCCAAGAUAAAAAGACAAAGAGAUGGACAUCUGAAAAGAAAACACAAGAACAUCAUAACAUUUGUCUACUGUGUUAGAGUUCAGAAGGCAAGAGCAUAAACAAAUGAAGGAGAGUAUUAAUAAAAUCUUUUUUCCCCAAAUUGAAAAGAACCACUGUGGACUCAGCAAAUGAGUGAAAAUACCAAGCCAUUAAAGCACGUAAGAGACCAGGAAUAAGUAAAAGUCCCUAAAGCUUCCAGAAAGGGGAGAGGAAAAUGAAAAAAAGACAGUUUCCAAAUGAAGGACUGGGGAUUAGAGGAACAAUGGACUUCUCAGUAGCCACAGUGGAUGGGAGUCAAGGACAUUACGCUAAAACUCCUGGGGAAAGUGACUUCCACCCCAGAAUCCUGUUCUCUAACUCUUUGUUAGCUGAGAAGCCUUGGAGGCAGUCAGAAGAUUGCUUCUGUGUUUCCCACAGACAGACAAUGCCUGGCAUCCACAAACAGGGUGUUCAGCAUGGCAGAGACACACAGGAAGCUCCAGCAGGGUGACAGGCCUGGGCUGGAACAAGGAGGGCAGCACUGGGAAUGAGGAGUGCAGGGAAAAAGGGAUGGAGAGAUUGGCCUGUGUGGGGGAAAUAGAGCGUGGACAUUUCACAUGCUCACCUCCUCCUAACCUUUGUUCAAAUGGCACUUUCUAUUCAGUCUACCUACAACCUGCACCCCCUUCUUUUGGAAUUCUAAUCUCCCUUUCUCCCUUCGUUUUGUUUUUUUUGUUUGUUUGGUUGGUUUUUUAUUGGUUUUUUCCCCCUUUUUUUCAUUUUUAUCCAUGACACUUAUCACUUUCUAAAAUGUGCUAUCAUUUAAAAUACAUUAUGUUUAUAAACAUCUAUAAAUAAACAAAAAGAGAAAUAAACAUAAAGUCUAAGCAUAUGGUCUAAAUAAACACUGUAUCUAUUGUUGACUCUGUCACCCCCA